Non-coding RNA from Eubacterium sp. CAG:603, 261 nucleotides. It matches the Rfam family "Bacterial large signal recognition particle RNA". Rfam says of the family: The signal recognition particle (SRP) is a universally conserved ribonucleoprotein involved in the co-translational targeting of proteins to membranes. Archaeal SRP consists of a 7S RNA and homologues of the eukaryotic SRP19 and SRP54 proteins. Lineage: Bacteria; Bacillati; Bacillota; Clostridia; Eubacteriales; Eubacteriaceae. The record is from Rfam.
CCGUGCAGCCGGGGAGUUAGCGGUGCCCUGUACCUGCAAUCCGCUCUAGCAGGGGUGAUGUUUUGCCGCGGAUAUAUCUUGUAGGGCUGCCCUUUACAAGUGGCGAUGACGUUUAGGUCUUACGCAACAGGAAUUUAUGAAUCGUGUCAGGUCAGGAAUGAAGCAGCACUAAGUAAAACCUUCUGUGUGCCGUAAGGUAGCCUGGACUGAGUUAACUAUAGAGGUAACGCUUAUGAUCUGUAUACAAAGCAAAACGCACGG